Molecule: ribosomal RNA, 334 nt
Filed under: uncultured eukaryote
Lineage: Eukaryota
Description: partial 18S ribosomal RNA
Rfam family: Eukaryotic small subunit ribosomal RNA
Source: RNAcentral
CCCUUAGAUGUCCGGGGCCGCACGCGCGCUACACUGAAGGAAUCAGCGUGGCUUUCUCCCUGACCCGAAAGGGUUGGGAAACCCGUUGAAUCUCCUUCGUGAUAGGGAUUGGGGCUUGAAAUUGUUCCCCAUGAACGAGGAAUUCCCAGUAAGCGCGAGUCAUAAGCUCGCGUUGAUUACGUCCCUGCCCUUUGUACACACCGCCCGUCGCUACUACCGAUUGAACGGUUUAGUGAGGGCCUCGGAUUGGUCUCGGCCCGCUCUUUACCGGGCGGCGCCGUUGGUCGAGAAGACGCUCGAACUUGAUCGUUUAGAGGAUGUAAAAGUCGUAACA